GGUUAAGUGACUAAGCGUACACGGUGGAUGCCUAGGCAGUCAGAGGCGAUGAAGGGCGUGCUAAUCUGCGAAAAGCGUCGGUAAGGUGAUAUGAACCGUUACAACCGGCGAUACCCGAAUGGGGAAACCCAGUGUGUUUCGACACACUAUCAUGUCAUGAAUACAUAGUGGCAUGAGGCGAACCGGGGGAACUGAAACAUCUAAGUACCCCGAGGAAAAGAAAUCAACCGAGAUUCCCCCAGUAGCGGCGAGCGAACGGGGAGGAGCCCAGAACCUGAAUCGGCUUGUGUGUUAGUGGAAGCGUCUGGAAAGUCGCGCAGUAAAGGGUGAUAGCCCCGUACACUAAAAUGCACAGGUCGUGAGUUCGAUGAGUAGGGCGGGACACGUGACAUCCUGUCUGAAUAUGGGGGGACCAUCCUCCAAGGCUAAAUACUCCUGACUGACCGAUAGUGAACCAGUACCGUGAGGAAAGGCGAAAAGAACCCCGGCGAGGGGUGAAAUAGAACCUGAAACCGUGUACGUACAAGCAGUGGGAGCACCUUCGUGGUGUGACUGCGUACCUUUUGUAUAAUGGGUCAGCGACUUAUAUUUUGUAGCAAGGUUAACCGUAUAGGGGAGCCGUAGGGAAACCGAGUCUUAACUGGGCGAAUAGUUGCAAGGUAUAGACCCGAAACCCGGUGAUCUAGCCAUGGGCAGGUUGAAGGUUGGGUAACACUAACUGGAGGACCGAACCGACUAAUGUUGAAAAAUUAGCGGAUGACUUGUGGCUGGGGGUGAAAGGCCAAUCAAACCGGGAGAUAGCUGGUUCUCCCGAAAGCUAUUUAGGUAGCGCCUCGUGAACUCAUCUUCGGGGGUAGAGCACUGUUUCGGCUAGGGGCCAUCCCGGCUUACCAAACCGAUGCAAACUCCGAAUACCGAAGAAUGUUAUCACGGGAGACACACGGCGUGCUAACGUCCGUCGUGAAGAGGAAACAACCCAGACCGCCAGCUAAGGUCCCAAAGUCAUGGUUAAGUGGGAAACGAUGUGGGAAGGCAUAGACGCCAGGAUGUUGGCUUAGAAGCAGCCAUCAUUUAAAGAAAGCGUAAUAGCUCACUGGUCGAGUCGGCCUGCGCGGAAGAUGUAACGGGGCUAAACCAUGCACCGAAGCUGCGGCAGCGACGCUUAGGCGUUGUUGGGUAGGGGAGCGUUCUGUAAGCCGUUGAAGGUGGCCUGUGAGGGUUGCUGGAGGUAUCAGAAGUGCGAAUGCUGACAUAAGUAACGAUAAAGCGGGUGAAAAGCCCGCUCGCCGGAAGACCAAGGGUUCCUGUCCAACGUUAAUCGGGGCAGGGUGAGUCGACCCCUAAGGCGAGGCUGAAAAGCGUAGUCGAUGGGAAACAGGUUAAUAUUCCUGUACUUGGUGUUACUGCGAAGGGGGGACGGAGAAGGCUAGGCUAGCCGGGCGACGGUUGUCCCGGUUUAAGUGUAGGGGGUGUGACCUGGUAAAUCCGGUUACAUAUCAACCCUGAGGCGUGAUGACGAUGCACUACGGUGCAGAAGUAGUUGAUGCCCUGCUUCCAGGAAAGCCUCUAAGCUCUAGGUAACAUUGAAUCGUACCCCAAACCGACACAGGUGGUCAGGUAGAGAAUACCAAGGCGCUUGAGAGAACUCGGGUGAAGGAACUAGGCAAAAUGGUGCCGUAACUUCGGGAGAAGGCACGCUGGCAUGUAGGUGAAGUCCUUCGCGGAUGGAGCUGAAGCCAGUCGAAGAUACCAGCUGGCUGCAACUGUUUAAUAAAAACACAGCACUGUGCAAACACGAAAGUGGACGUAUACGGUGUGACGCCUGCCCGGUGCUGGAAGGUUAAUUGAUGGGGUCAGCCGCAAGGCGAAGCUCUUGAUCGAAGCCCCAGUAAACGGCGGCCGUAACUAUAACGGUCCUAAGGUAGCGAAAUUCCUUGUCGGGUAAGUUCCGACCUGCACGAAUGGCGUAAUGAUGGCCAGGCUGUCUCCACCCGAGACUCAGUGAAAUUGAACUCGCUGUGAAGAUGCAGUGUACCCGCGGCAAGACGGAAAGACCCCGUGAACCUUUACUAUAGCUUGACACUGAACAUUGAGCCUUGAUGUGUAGGAUAGGUGGGAGGCUUUGAAGCGUGGACGCCAGUCUGCGUGGAGCCAUCCUUGAAAUACCACCCUUUAAUGUUUGAUGUUCUAACUCGGCCCCAUAAUCUGGGGUGAGGACAGUGUCUGGUGGGUAGUUUGACUGGGGCGGUCUCCUCCCAAAGAGUAACGGAGGAGCACGAAGGUUAGCUAAUCACGGUCGGACAUCGUGAGGUUAGUGCAAAGGCAUAAGCUAGCUUGACUGCGAGAGUGACGGCUCGAGCAGGUACGAAAGUAGGUCUUAGUGAUCCGGUGGUUCUGAAUGGAAGGGCCAUCGCUCAACGGAUAAAAGGUACUCCGGGGAUAACAGCUGAUACCGCCCAAGAGUUCAUAAUAUCGACGGCGGUGUUUGGCACCUCGAUGUCGGCUCAUCACAUCCUGGGGCUGAAGUAGGUCCCAAGGGUAUGGCUGUUCGCCAUUUAAAGUGGUACGCGAGCUGGGUUUAGAACGUCGUGAGACAGUUCGGUCCCUAUUCGCCGGGCGUUGGAAGAUUGAGAGGGUUGCUCCUAGUACGAGAGGACCGGAGUGAACGCACCACUGGUGUUCGGGUUGUCAUGCCAAUGGCAUUGCCCGGUAGCUAAGUGCGGAAAAGAUAAGCGCUGAAAGCAUCUAAGCGCGAAACUUGCCUCAAGAUGAGUCUUCCCUGGGCCUUUAAGGUCCCUGAAGGAACGUUUAAGACUAAGACGUUGAUAGGCUGGGUGUGUAAGUGCAGCGAUGCAUUGAGCUAACCAGUACUAAUGAUCCGUGAGGCUUAACCUU
This 2895-nucleotide ribosomal RNA is filed under the name Serratia nevei. RNAcentral's name for it is "23S ribosomal RNA". It matches the Rfam family "Bacterial large subunit ribosomal RNA". Lineage: Bacteria; Pseudomonadati; Pseudomonadota; Gammaproteobacteria; Enterobacterales; Yersiniaceae. The record is from RNAcentral.